AACGUAGGGGCGAGCGUUGUCCGGAAUUAUUGGGCGUAAAGGGUAACGCAGGCGGUUCUUUAAGUCUGAUGUGAAAUCUCACAGCUUAACUGUGAGCGGUCAUUGGAAACUGAGGAACUUGAGUAUAGAAGAGAAGAGUGGAAUUCCAAGUGUAGCGGUGAAAUGCGUAGAUAUUUGGAGGAACACCAGUGGCGAAGGCGACUCUUUGGUCUAUUACUGACGCUGAGGUACGAAAGCAUGGGUAGCAAACAGGAUUAGAUACCCUGGUAGU
Molecule: ribosomal RNA, 271 nt
Filed under: uncultured prokaryote
Description: partial 16S ribosomal RNA
Rfam family: Bacterial small subunit ribosomal RNA
Source: RNAcentral